GCUAAGAAUAUUCCGCAAUGGACGAAAGUCUGACGGAGCGACGCCGCGUGGAUGAGGAAGGCCGAAAGGUUGUAAAGUCCUUUUGUCGAUGAAGAAUAAGUGGUGGAGGGAAUGCCAUCAUGAUGACGUUAGUCGGCGAAUAAGCCCCGGCUAAUUACGUGCCAGCAGCCGCGGUAACACGUAAGGGGCAAGCGUUGUUCGGAAUUAUUGGGCGUAAAGGGUACGUAGGCGGUUAUGUAAGCCCGGCGUGAAAUCCUGCAGCUUAACUGUAGAGCUGCGCUGGGAACUGCGUAACUUGAGUCAUGGAAGGGAAGUUAGAAUUCCAGGUGUAGGGGUGAAAUCUGUAGAUAUCUGGAAGAAUACCGGUGGCGAAGGCGAACUUCUGGCCAAUGACUGACGCUGAGGUACGAAAGUGCGGGGAGCAAACAGGAUUAGAAACCCCGGUAGUCC
Molecule: ribosomal RNA, 450 nt
Filed under: uncultured bacterium
Lineage: Bacteria
Description: partial 16S ribosomal RNA
Rfam family: Bacterial small subunit ribosomal RNA
Source: RNAcentral